This 253-nucleotide ribosomal RNA is filed under the name uncultured bacterium. Its description in RNAcentral is "partial 16S ribosomal RNA". It matches the Rfam family "Bacterial small subunit ribosomal RNA", at positions 524 to 776 of the family's 1533-position model. The record is from RNAcentral.
UACGAAGGGGGCGAGCGUUGUUCGGAUUUACUGGGCGUAAAGGGCGCGCAGGCGGCGCAUUUUGUCAGGCGUGAAAGCCCCGGGCUUAACCUGGGAACUGCGUUUGAUACGGAUGGGCUAGAGUUCGGGAGAGGAGAGUGGAAUUCCCAGUGUAGAGGUGAAAUGCGUAGAUAUCUGGAGGAACACCGGUGGCGAAGGCGGCAUCCUGGACCAACACUGACACUGAGGAGCGAAAGCCAGGGGAGCAAACGGG